RNAcentral lists this ribosomal RNA (484 nucleotides) under uncultured bacterium. RNAcentral describes it as "partial 16S ribosomal RNA". It matches the Rfam family "Bacterial small subunit ribosomal RNA", at positions 30 to 507 of the family's 1533-position model. The record is from RNAcentral.
AUUGAACGCUGGCGGCAGGCCUAACACAUGCAAGUCGAGCGGAUGAAGGGAGCUUGCUCCUGGAUGCAGCGGCGGACGGGUGAGUAAUGCCUAGGAAUCUGCCUUGUAGUGGGGGAUAACGUCCGGAAACGGGCGCUAAUACCGCAUACGUCCUGAGGGAGAAAGUGGUGGAUCUUCGGACCUCACGCUAUCAGAUGAGCCUAGGUCGGAUUAGCUAGUUGGUUGGGUAAAGGCCUACCAAGGCGACGAUCCGUAACUGGUCUGAGAGGAUGAUCAGUCACACUGGAACUGAGACACGGUCCAGACUCCUACGGGAGGCAGCAGUGGGGAAUAUUGGACAAUGGGCGAAAGCCUGAUCCAGCCAUGCCGCGUGUGUGAAGAAGGUCUUCGGAUUGUAAAGCACUUUAAGUUGGGAGGAAGGGCAGUAAGUUAAUACCUUGCUGUUUUGACGUUACCAACAGAAUAAGCACCGGCUAACUUCGUG